CCUCAACCCGAAAAGGCCCCACAAGCUCAUCUUUGAUGAUACCAGCCCAAACCAGUACUCCACCUCCACCUUGCUGGCACUGAGCUCCAGUCCGACUCAGACGCCAGCAAGGUGGAGGUGGAGUACUGGUUUGGGCUGGUAUCAUCAAAGAUGAGCUUGUGGGGCCUUUUCGGGUGGAGGUGGAGUACUGAUUUGGGCUGGUAUCAUCAAAGAUGAGCUUGUGGGGCCUUUUCGGGUUGAGGAUGGAGUCAAGCUCAACUCCCAGUCCUACUGCCAGUUUCUGGAAGACACCUUCUUCAAGCAGUGGUAUAGGAAGAAA
Molecule: long non-coding RNA, 319 nt
Organism: Oreochromis aureus
Lineage: Eukaryota; Metazoa; Chordata; Actinopteri; Cichliformes; Cichlidae
Source: Ensembl